AUACGGAGGAUCCGAGCGUUAUCCGGAUUUAUUGGGUUUAAAGGGUGCGCAGGCGGGAGAUUAAGUCGGCGGUGAAAUUUUUCAGCCCAACUGUAAAAGUGCCUUCGAAACUGGUUUCCUUUAGUGUGGAUGAAGUAGGCGGGAUUUGUGGUGUAGCGGUGGAAUGCAUAGAUAUCACGAGGAACUCCGAUUGCGCAGGCAGCUUACUAAACUACUACUGACGCUCAGGCACGAAGGCGUGGGGAUCAAACAGGAUUAGAUACCCUGGUAGUCCACGCAGUAAACGAUGAUUACUAGCUGUUUGCGAUACAAUGUAAGCGGCUGAGCGAAAGCGUUAAGUAAUCCACCUGGGGAGUACGUUCGCAAGAAUGAAACUUAAAUGAAUUGGCGGGG
This 393-nucleotide ribosomal RNA is filed under the name uncultured bacterium. RNAcentral's name for it is "partial 16S ribosomal RNA". It matches the Rfam family "Bacterial small subunit ribosomal RNA", at positions 523 to 918 of the family's 1533-position model. The record is from RNAcentral.